RNAcentral lists this small nucleolar RNA (130 nucleotides) under Catagonus wagneri (Chacoan peccary). RNAcentral describes it as "Small nucleolar RNA SNORA63 (ENSCWAG00000019379.1)". It matches the Rfam family "Small nucleolar RNA SNORA63". Rfam says of the family: E3 belongs to the H/ACA class of snoRNAs and is involved in the processing of eukaryotic pre-rRNA and has regions of complementarity to 18S rRNA. The record is from Rfam by way of RNAcentral. Lineage: Eukaryota; Metazoa; Chordata; Mammalia; Artiodactyla; Tayassuidae.
AAGCAGGACUUAGACUACAAUAUAGCUGUCAGGUGCUGUGUUGUCAUUUCCCCUGCUCAAAAUAAAGUUGUUUCUUAACUCUACCUGUCUGCUAUACUCUUAGCAGCCAGGGAUGCUUGGUCUCAUACAU